GCUCAGAUGGAUGCCCGCACAGAGUGAGCUGUGUUAAAGCUGAGAGGUCCUGAGCCUAGGGAUCCUGAAUUUGAAAAGGAUGGCUUCUGCGCUCAAGUGUCUGAUGUUCCUUCCCCAUGGGCUUUAUGGAGGUGGGGGCUGGUGGUGGCUCCCUGGGCUGCUGAAGAGCUGCAGCCCAUGCCUGGGGCUGCCUGGCCUCAGCCUCCACACCUCUGCAGAGUGAGAGUCCUGCGCUAAGCCAAGGAGUUGAUAGCUGUGUCUUUAGGGACCCCCUGAGGUCUCCUUGGCCACCAUGUCAGCGUCCCCUUGCAGAAAAAAUACAGCAGGUUUUUAAGCCAGGCCAGUCAUAUCUGGGAAAAACAAUCCAAAUGUUAAUCCAUCUGGAGAGACAACUAAUCCUCAUCUUCUGCUGCCCGUAUCUUUUGUUUUUCAUCUCUAGAUCUUUAAAUCUAAUUAUGAAGCCAGAACAAACCCCCUGCAAGCUUGUCUCCUACCCUUCAGGCGGCCUUUUAAGCAUUUCUUUGUGCUUGGUCUCCUUAUGUUUCUCACUAACAGAGCUCCUUUCAUCUGAAUGUGGUAUGACUCUUUAAAUAGCUAAACAAAGCCUCACUACACCCCCAUGAGGAAAGAAGUGAUCAUAACUUGCUUUCCCCAUGCCAGGGAGGAGGCAAAGAAAUGGUAAGUGACUGGCUUAAGAGGUCCUAACUCCUGAAGCCAUCUUCAAGCAACAGGAGCACCAGCCAUAAUGUUCUGCCUUUGUCACCUUACACAGGAGUGGACUCUAUUCUUCAAAACGCAGAAAACUAAAAUAAAACAAAGCAAGCUUCUUA
Long non-coding RNA from Chinchilla lanigera (long-tailed chinchilla), 830 nucleotides. RefSeq lists it as uncharacterized. The record is from RefSeq and is a predicted model, not a curated record. The transcript has 2 exons. NCBI's taxonomy places the organism in Eukaryota, Metazoa, Chordata, Mammalia, Rodentia, Chinchillidae.